CUGGCUCAGGAUGAACGCUAGCUACAGGCCUAACACAUGCAAGUCGAGGGGCAGCAGAUCGAAAGCUUGCUUUGAUGCUGGCGACCGGCGAAUGGGUGAGUCACGCGUGUCCAACCUGCCUUCAGCCCGGGGAUAGCCCUUGGAAAUGAGGAUUAACACCCGAUAGGUGCGCAUUCCGCAUGGCGUGCGCAUGAAACUGGACUGGAGAUGGGGACGCGUCGGAUUAGCUUGACGGCGGGGCGACGGCCCACCGUGGCGACGAUCCGCAGGGGUUCUGAGAGGAAGGUCCCCCACACUGGCACUGAGACACGGGCCAAACUCCUACGGGAGGCAGCAGUAAGGAAUAUUGGUCAAUGGACGAGAGUCUGAACCAGCCAAGUAGCGUGCAGGAAUGACUGCCCUAUGGGUUGUAAACUGCUUUUAUGCGGGAAUAAAGUGAGGCACGCGUGCCUUUUUGUAUGUACCGCAUGAAUAAGGACCGGCUAAUUCCGUGCCAGCCGCCGC
RNAcentral lists this ribosomal RNA (504 nucleotides) under uncultured bacterium. Its description in RNAcentral is "bacterial SSU rRNA". It matches the Rfam family "Bacterial small subunit ribosomal RNA", at positions 19 to 518 of the family's 1533-position model. The record is from RNAcentral.